This 253-nucleotide ribosomal RNA is filed under the name uncultured bacterium. Its description in RNAcentral is "partial 16S ribosomal RNA". It matches the Rfam family "Bacterial small subunit ribosomal RNA", at positions 524 to 776 of the family's 1533-position model. The record is from RNAcentral.
UACGUAGGGUGCGAGCGUUAAUCGGAAUUACUGGGCGUAAAGGGUGCGCAGGCGGCCGAGCAAGUCGAGUGUGAAAGCCCCGAGCUUAACUUGGGAACUGCGCUCGAAACUACUUGGCUAGAGUGUGGCAGAGGGAGGUGGAAUUCCACGUGUAGCGGUGAAAUGCGUAGAGAUGUGGAGGAACACCGAUGGCGAAGGCAGCCUCCUGGGCCAACACUGACGCUCAUGCACGAAAGCGUGGGGAGCAAACAGG